CCCUUAGAUGUUCUGGGCCGCACGCGCGCUACACUGUUUGAUUCAGCGAGUCUUAACCUUGACCGAAAGGUUUGGGUAAUCUUCUAAAGUCAAACGUGGUGGGGAUCGAUCAUUGCAAUUAUUGAUCGUGAACGAGGAAUUCCUAGUAAAUGCAAGUCAUCAGCUUGCGUUGAUUACGUCCCUGCCCUUUGUACACACCGCCCGUCGCUACUACCGAUUGAAUGGUUUAGUGAGAUCUCCGGAUUGGCUCUGUAGGUCCCGCAAGGGAUUUAUUAGUAGCCAAGAAGCUGCUCAAACUUGAUCAUUUAGAGGAAGUAAAAGUCGUAACA
RNAcentral lists this ribosomal RNA (329 nucleotides) under uncultured eukaryote. Its description in RNAcentral is "partial 18S ribosomal RNA". It matches the Rfam family "Eukaryotic small subunit ribosomal RNA", at positions 1470 to 1796 of the family's 1831-position model. The record is from RNAcentral.